Molecule: long non-coding RNA, 526 nt
Organism: Heterocephalus glaber (naked mole-rat)
Lineage: Eukaryota; Metazoa; Chordata; Mammalia; Rodentia; Bathyergidae
Source: Ensembl
GGAAACAACCUAGAAAUUUGGACAUGAAGGAUUUCUGUCCUUUUUCUCCUCUGGUGUUGGCAUCUUAAUGCCACUGAAAGUCAUACAACCUAGUUUCAUGAAGUUUGCUCUCAAGAUGGUUUGUGAGGGAACCUAGGCUCAGGAAAGUUGGUCAUGUAUUUGUGAGGAGCAGAGUCAACAUUCAGCCAGUUACCAAGACAGAAACCUUGGAUUUGAAUCAGAGCAGCCUGGCCGAAGACUCUGGAUGACUAUAAUCUGCUCACACCCUACCGAGGUCACCAGUCAUGCGGAACACACGCCGAAUCAGCCUGCUGCAAACAGAUAGGUCUGUGCACGCCCUACGGAGGUCCUAAGUCACGCGGAAGACACGAAAUCACCCCGCUGCAGACAGGCAGCCACCUGAUUCCACAAUACAAAGACGCAGAGGACACCAGACCACCAGACCAAGGUGUGUGUGUGUGUGUCCCUGGUGCCUGCCUGGCUCACCUCCUCUGUGGUGGGAGCAGUGGCAUGCCUACCCAGAAAC